This is a non-coding RNA of Biomphalaria pfeifferi, 361 nucleotides long. NCBI's taxonomy places the organism in Eukaryota, Metazoa, Mollusca, Gastropoda, Planorbidae. The record is from the annotation of a GenBank genome assembly.
AUUGUUUUCAAUUGUUCAUCAAUAAUUUAUUACGAGAAUCAAUAACUAAUUCCGCUAAUGUCAUCACAUAAAUAUGAAAUGUGUCAAUCAACAAAUUAUAUAAUAAAAAAUAAGGCAUCUUAGCAACAGCUGCUGAUAAAGGCGGGAAGUAUUGCUUAGACUAACUCGUCUGCUCAUAAAGGCGGGAAAAUAUUGCUUAGAUUAUCACGUAUUGUUAAUACACUGUCUUGUUAGCUCCACCCAAAUCCACUACACUGUCUUGUUAGCUCCACCCCCAAGCCCCGACCCACUCCACUGUCUUGCUAGCUCCACCCCCAAGCCCCGACCCACUCCACUGUCGUGUUAGCUCCACCCCCAACCC